ACAGCAGCAGCCGCGGGAAUACAGAGGGUGCAAGCGUUAAUCGGAAUUACUGGGCGUAAAGCGCGCGUAGGUGGUUUGUUAAGUUGGAUGUGAAAGCCCCGGGCUCAACCUGGGAACUGCAUCCAAAACUGGCAAGCUAGAGUACGGUAGAGGGUGGUGGAAUUUCCUGUGUAGCGGUGAAAUGCGUAGAUAUAGGAAGGAACACCAGUGGCGAAGGCGACCACCUGGACUGAUACUGACACUGAGGUGCGAAAGCGUGGGGAGCAAACAGGAUUAGAUACCCGUGUAGUCCCUGUCUCUUAUAC
RNAcentral lists this ribosomal RNA (305 nucleotides) under uncultured bacterium. RNAcentral describes it as "partial 16S ribosomal RNA". It matches the Rfam family "Bacterial small subunit ribosomal RNA", at positions 505 to 807 of the family's 1533-position model. The record is from RNAcentral.